UACGAAGGGAGCUAGCGUUGUUCGGAAUUACUGGGCGUAAAGCGCACGUAGGCGGGCUUUUAAGUCAGGGGUGAAAUCCCGGGGCUCAACCUCGGAACUGCCUUUGAUACUGGAAGUCUCGAGGUCGAGAGAGGUGAGCGGAAUUCCUAGUGUAGAGGUGAAAUUCGUAGAUAUUAGGAAGAACACCGGUGGCGAAGGCGGCGCACUGGCUCGAUACUGACGCUGAGGUGCGAAAGCGUGGGGAGCAUACAGG
This 253-nucleotide ribosomal RNA is filed under the name uncultured bacterium. Its description in RNAcentral is "partial 16S ribosomal RNA". It matches the Rfam family "Bacterial small subunit ribosomal RNA", at positions 524 to 776 of the family's 1533-position model. The record is from RNAcentral.